This 752-nucleotide unclassified non-coding RNA is filed under the name Hevea brasiliensis (rubber tree). Lineage: Eukaryota; Viridiplantae; Streptophyta; Magnoliopsida; Malpighiales; Euphorbiaceae. The record is from RNAcentral.
GAAAGACUUCUCAAAACUUCAUCUUAUCAAGUUACUGUUGUUGAUUCUGGAAGUAAAGCUUUGGAGUUGCUUGAAGUAAGAGAAACGGGAGUGAAUUUGAUAAUUACAGAUUAUAGUAUGCCGGAAAUGACUGGUUAUGAUUUAUUGAGGAAAGUUAAAGGAUCAUCUUAUUUGAAGGAUAUUCCAGUUAUAAUUAUGUCAUCGGAAAAUGUUCCAUCAAGGAUUAAUAGAUGUUUAGAAGAAGGAGCUGAAGAGUUUUUUCUGAAGCCAGUUCAACAAUCAGAUGUUAACAGAAUUAAGCCUCAUUUAAUGAGGGAGAAACCUAAUUCUCUAAAGAGAAAAGCUAUGGUUGAAUGCAUUUCACCUGACAGAACCAGAAAAUACAGCAGCAACAACAACAACAGUUUAUGUAGCAUCUUUUUGCAGAACAUUUGUGAGUGAAGGGGAAAUUGUUUCAGACAAACAUAUUCAGUGUAAUCUCUCGCUCGCAAUUGAGAUCUCAGAUCUGAGAUCUAAGAAGGGCUGGGCAGAUCCAGAUCGAGGUGUUUAUAUCAAACAGAUGAAUUUAAAAGAAUUAUCAAAGAAUUAUAGAAAAAAAUUUGUUGAAGAUGGAUGGAAGUGACUGGAUUAACACUUUGUUUAUAUCAAUCAAGUAGAUCUGAUCUGAUUUGGGACUAAUUUAGCCCUAAUUAUAUACAAUUAUACAUAGGACUUAGGAGUAGUACAUAAUUUCCUUUUUGUUAUUAUACACA